GAAUACCAGUUACCACGCAGUUGC
RNAcentral lists this non-coding RNA (24 nucleotides) under Arabidopsis thaliana (thale cress). The record is from RNAcentral. Lineage: Eukaryota; Viridiplantae; Streptophyta; Magnoliopsida; Brassicales; Brassicaceae.